Molecule: ribosomal RNA, 428 nt
Filed under: uncultured bacterium
Lineage: Bacteria
Description: bacterial SSU rRNA
Rfam family: Bacterial small subunit ribosomal RNA
Source: RNAcentral
CAAGUCUUGGGAGAAAGAGGUAGCAAUAUCUCGAGUACACCGGCGCAAGGGUGAGUAACACGUAGGCAACCUGCCUUCAGGACGGGGAUAACUCCGAGAAAUCGGGGCUAAUACCCGAUAAUGCAGCGGCAUCGCAUGGUGACAGUUGUUAAAGGUUCUGCAGCAAUGCAGGGCGCCUGGAGAUGGGCCUGCGUCCCAUUAGGUUGUUGGCGGGGUAACGGCCCACCAAGCCUUCGAUGGGUAGCUGGUCUGAGAGGACGAUCAGCCACACUGGGACUGAGACACGGUCCAGACUCCUACGGGAGGCAGCAGUGAGGAAUAUUGCGCAAUGCCCGAAAGGGUGACGCAGCGACGCCGCGUGGAGGAUGAAGGCCCUCUGGGUCGUAAACUCCUUUUGCGGGGGAAGAACGGUUCGCUACAGGCGGACG